Molecule: ribosomal RNA, 698 nt
Filed under: uncultured bacterium
Lineage: Bacteria
Description: bacterial SSU rRNA
Rfam family: Bacterial small subunit ribosomal RNA
Source: RNAcentral
AAUGAACGCUGGCGGCGUGCCUAACACAUGCAAGUUGAGCGGUAAGGCCCCUUCGGGGGUACACGAGCAGCGAACGGGUGAGUAUCGCGUGGGUAAUCUACCUUGAGGUGGGGGAUAGCCUCGGGAAACUGAGGGUAAUACCGCAUGAGUCCUCGACGGCACAAGUCGACGAGGGGAAAGGCGGGGCUCCUUCGGGACCUGUCGCCUCUGGAUGAGCCCGCGUCCGAUUAGCUAGUUGGUGGGGUAAUGGCCCACCAAGGCAACGAUCGGUAGCCGGCCUGAGAGGGUGAACGGCCACAUUGGGACUGAGACACGGCCCAGACUCCUACGGGAGGCAGCAGUGGGGAAUUUUGGGCAAUGGGGGAAACCCUGACCCAGCGACGCCGCGUGGAGGAUGACGGCCCUCGGGUUGUAAACUCCUGUCAGGUGGGAAGAAAAGCCAGUCGGAUAAUACCCGACAGGAAUUGACGGUACCGCCAAAGGAAGCCCCGGCUAACUCCGUGCCAGCAGCCGCGGUAAUACGGAGGGGGCAAGCGUUAUUCGGAUUUACUGGGCGUAAAGCGCACGUAGGUGGCAUGGUAAGUCAAAGGUGAAAGCCCUCGGCUCAACCGAGGAACUGCCUUUGAAACUGCUUUGCUUGAGUCCGGGAGGGGGGGAGCGGAAUUCCCAGUGUAGCGGUGAAAUGCGUAGAUACUGGG